Molecule: ribosomal RNA, 923 nt
Filed under: Staphylococcus aureus H48052
Lineage: Bacteria; Bacillati; Bacillota; Bacilli; Caryophanales; Staphylococcaceae
Description: bacterial SSU rRNA
Rfam family: Bacterial small subunit ribosomal RNA
Source: RNAcentral
AGAGUUUGAUCCUGGCUCAGGAUGAACGCUGGCGGCGUGCCUAAUACAUGCAAGUCGAGCGAACGGACGAGAAGCUUGCUUCUCUGAUGUUAGCGGCGGACGGGUGAGUAACACGUGGAUAACCUACCUAUAAGACUGGGAUAACUUCGGGAAACCGGAGCUAAUACCGGAUAAUAUUUUGAACCGCAUGGUUCAAAAGUGAAAGACGGUCUUGCUGUCACUUAUAGAUGGAUCCGCGCUGCAUUAGCUAGUUGGUAAGGUAACGGCUUACCAAGGCAACGAUGCAUAGCCGACCUGAGAGGGUGAUCGGCCACACUGGAACUGAGACACGGUCCAGACUCCUACGGGAGGCAGCAGUAGGGAAUCUUCCGCAAUGGGCGAAAGCCUGACGGAGCAACGCCGCGUGAGUGAUGAAGGUCUUCGGAUCGUAAAACUCUGUUAUUAGGGAAGAACAUAUGUGUAAGUAACUGUGCACAUCUUGACGGUACCUAAUCAGAAAGCCACGGCUAACUACGUGCCAGCAGCCGCGGUAAUACGUAGGUGGCAAGCGUUAUCCGGAAUUAUUGGGCGUAAAGCGCGCGUAGGCGGUUUUUUAAGUCUGAUGUGAAAGCCCACGGCUCAACCGUGGAGGGUCAUUGGAAACUGGAAAACUUGAGUGCAGAAGAGGAAAGUGGAAUUCCAUGUGUAGCGGUGAAAUGCGCAGAGAUAUGGAGGAACACCAGUGGCGAAGGCGACUUUCUGGUCUGUAACUGACGCUGAUGUGCGAAAGCGUGGGGAUCAAACAGGAUUAGAUACCCUGGUAGUCCACGCCGUAAACGAUGAGUGCUAAGUGUUAGGGGGUUUCCGCCCCUUAGUGCUGCAGCUAACGCAUUAAGCACUCCGCCUGGGGAGUACGACCGCAAGGUUGAAACUCAAAGGAAUUG